Molecule: non-coding RNA, 148 nt
Filed under: Chromera velia
Lineage: Eukaryota; Chromeraceae
Source: RNAcentral
ACAAACGAAAUGGACGAAAGAAGGAAAAAGCAAAAAGAAAAGGCGAGCUAGUACUUUUGAGGUUUUUUUGUUGGUUCGUUUGAAAGGUUCUUUCUUUCUUUCUUUCAAUCCUUCGUUGAGGCCCCUUCCCCUCUCCCAAAUCUUGUAC